CCUGAGUGACUGAAAGAGGUGGAGCCAGGAUCCACCCCUUCCCAGACCUCAUUUAAGGGCCAGCAGUGAAAGUAAAGUGACUGUGCUGGAGAUCUCUGCCUGCUGGAAGCCUUCUGAAGGUUAGAAAAUCUUUCUUCCUUUAUUUCUGCAUCCGUGGCUGCUGCAUUUGGACUUGGUCUCUUUUACUGCAGCCUAGGAUUGUGCCACCCUGCUAUUAUUGCAGUUAUUAUUAUAACUCUCCAUCACGUUAUAGCAUUACAUCAUUACAGACCCAAACAGUGAAGAUAUUUCCAGAGAAGUUGCUGUUAUUAGCCAGGAAGAGUCCCAGAAAAAGGCACUGGGACUCCAUAGAGAAAGGAGAAGCAUCGUCUCUACACUCCUACAUCCUUCCUCCACCCUGCAGAGUAGCCCCUUGCCCUAGAGGUGGCGGUGAGGAGCUGCUGCUUUCCACAGCUCCCUGCAAAAAAUCAUAAAACCCAGGGUGGGAUUAGCACAACGGAGGCAGAAGGUCUGCAAGCAGCUCUGUGCUCCUUGAACUGUCUGUCAUCUGUGUGGCAGUUUAGGAUUUACAGUUGCAGUGCUGCAGUGGAAACCCAGCAAGAAUGCAUGACCUCUAGUUCAGCAGAAAAAGAAGUGAAGGUGGAAACUGAUCCCCGUUGGUCCCUUCCAACUCAGGAUAAUCUAUCCUGCUGCUGUCUAGAGGGCUGGGCUCACACUGUCAUCUUAGUGCAAGCAGGUUAAAAGUGUGCUGGAAGCACAGGGAGACAGAGCUCUGAUAAUUUCCAUGCUCUCAGGAGGCACAUUGCUGCUUCUCCUUCUGGUCCUUGUGCUGAUUUUACAGGGACAAUGCAAAGUAGAAAUAAUCUCUAGUUCCACGUAAGAAGCAAAACUCAUGCAAAAUUUUUGCGAGGUGACAGAGUCAUUCAUAAAGCUUUUGCCCACCCGUGAGGGCUCUGCAUCUUCCUGACUGCUAAAAUGGGCAUGGGAAUACAGAUGUCCACCUCCAUUCGCCAAGCAGCUGUGCAGAGAAUUCUGGACAUCAGCCCCCACAACUCACCUUGGAUUCCAGCUGCAUCUUCAGGUCCUGCAGCUGUUCUUGGAGCUGCUGCGUCGUGAUUGACGUCUCUGCACACACAGAAAUGGGAACCAGAUGGUUGGGAGAGGAACACACUGGGAAAAAGAUGCACUGCGAGAACAGUCUUUGGUCCACUGUCCUUGUGCUUGAUACUUAGGAUUGCCCCACACUCUGUGAAGUGCUGGAGUCUAAUCCUCUGGCUCUCUAAUCCAACUCCUGCUCAGAGAAAGACUAUCACCAAAGCCAGAUUCUCUCAUCUAUAUGGCAGCUAAUCCUAAGAAGUUUUUUCCUAAUGCUCAGCUUGAACCUCCAACCCCACUUAAUUAUAUUGUGUUUCUUCACCAUUCUCCACAGUGAAAAUCGGCCAGCUCGUUCCCAGCUGCCAAGUCCUCAUGUUGCUGUCACAAGCUCACACGUUGGAACCACCUCUGUCGCUCCUUCACCAUCCAUCAUUCCUUUCUUCCCUCGCAUGGCUGCCCAGUGCCAAAACCAGGAGCAGCCACUCUACACUCCCACUACUCCCGUCAGCACAAAACCUUGCUCUUGCCAAACAAACAGAGAUGCCCCAAACACCCCUGCAUUUUACCUCCAGCCAGCAGCCCGCUCUCAGCCCUCUUCUCCUGCAGCUGAAGACGCAGCUCUUCCAGCUCUCUUUGCAGCACGUCAUUCUGGUCCCACAGCACCUGAGGCAGAGACAGGCCAUGACGCAGCUGUGAAGCUUCCCAGGACUGGGACAGAAUGUUCCCAGGUUGCAGAGGGAACAAAACGAGGUGAAAAGCACCUGAGCUCUUGGGAAGCACUGCAUGAAACACGUCCCACUGCCUGCUUAGAGCAGAGAGCUCCAAAGGCAGCACAGGAGUUUAUCCAGUCUCACCCCACAGCAAAGAGUCUCACAGAUGAACACCACGCUGAGCAAUGAGCCACUUCCAUGCAUCUGGAUCUGGGAACCCCCUUGUUUCACUUUACAUUCUGAAUCCCACACGGGAUGCAAGAGCGCAUGAGGAAUCCUGUCUCCCCUCCACUUUGAACUGACAUCUAGUUACAUCCUAUACGCUACACUAUCCAGAAAAUGAAUGGGCUGCAUAAGAAUAUGAGCUAUGGAACUUCCACAAAUCCAAACUAACGAAUAUUACUAAGCAGGUCUAGAAAAGAGUACACCUAGUUUGUUUAACCUCCAUUCUAAACAGAAGAGCAGACAGGAGGACAUAGGCUGCCAGCAUUCAGGAUUCAGCACCCAGCUGGGUGCCUCACAUGGCAGGAUGAAGCCAAAGGCAUCUCCAUCCAGCUGCAUUUGCAUCAACAACCCUGGGACAGCUCAGCCCUAGGAAGAAUUACAGCUCCAAGCAUCUUCAGCCCUCUGGUGCCACCUGGAGUACUGCUAUAUUGGAUAGUGUUUCAGCAUGUUUGCCUUUAGCUACAGCUUCAAUAGGAGCUAUCUGCUGAAUCUGUCAAUGGCUUUGCUGCAAAUGCACAGAUUUUAGCAAAUCUCUGAAGAGAUUUGGCAAGUCACCAUCUCUACCUGGUGGUGCUCUACAAUCACUCAUAGCACUUGGAAACACAGACAGUGCAAUAAGUACAGGACACUGCACAAUCAGGAGCCAACACAGAGAACACCCAGCCAUGCAAAACAUGCAAGAGACACACAUUGCUUAGAAACCAUAGAAAGGUGACAGAGGCUGUGCUCACAUCCCAGAGAGCCAAAGCUCUGGGCUGCAGCACAGUGCUGAGAAGGAGGUGCAACACACAGAACACCAAUGCCAGGACCGUGGAUAGGCUUACCUUGACUCUCUGUCACAGCCCAGUAAUUUUGUAGGGGUUGUGAAGGGGGGAACAGAAAAAGAAAGGGAAAAACAAAAGAAGAAUUUGGCUGAUGGUAUGCAUUCCAAAGGAGCACAGCUUUCUCUUCCCAUUCAAGAGAAAAUACCUUACAGCAGAGCCUGGAGUGGUCUGCCUGUAUAUAAGGAACUACAUGAUUCCCACACAAAACAGUCCACGGCUACAGGGUAGCAGGAAGGGUGAAAUUUGCAACCUACCCCCUAUUCCCCUCAACCUGGCAGGGGAACCAACACACAGUUGUGCUCCCACAGCUGUGGGAGCAAGGCAUUAGGUUCCUUUACUAGGGGCAUAGCUGUGUCCUGCCUCCUGCCAAAGGAUGCUGAGCAAGGCAAGAAGGAAAACCACUCCUUCACACUUUGUUCACCACUGCCCCAUUCCUCUGCCCCAGACUGCAGCACCCAACAGAUGUGCAGAUGACAGCUGUAUGCAUCACGACAGCAUUGCUGAAGAGCUGCCCACUGGUACCUGGCAUUGCCGCUCGUAUUCCAGCACAAUCUCUGCAAAGUAUUUGCCAUGGUUCAGGAGCUCUGGGUUGCGGGGCUCCUCCUGGUCCAGCUGCACAAGCACAGGGAAACACUGCUCAUCAAGGAAAUUGUCAUCUCUCCAACUGGAGAGACAGAAGCUCUACAAAAUCACUGGAGUCACAGUCCUAAAGCCCUAGAUUCAGAAGAAAGGUUCCUAUUGAUGCCAGUGGGAUGGGUCAAGUGCAGAAAGAGGGGAAAGAACAUCUUUCUUCUUAAGACAGAGAUACCUAACUGCAGACAGCCUGGCUUCCCCAAACCAGCUACCAAGAACGCUGACUCAUUUAUUUCCCAGAUCCACUUCAUGCUCUUCACUGGAGUGGAAACGUCAGCUACUACUAAUAACAAGAACAAACCCUUUAUUCAAUACCUGUUAAGAUGAAAUUUUUUUGAACAUCUAAUUUUCACUUGGAAAUCACAGAUUUGUAUAGUUUUCUAUACUUGCAAAUUUCCUCCUUUCAAGCUCUGAAAGGCCUAAAUUAAAACAGUAAUUCUUUUUU
Molecule: long non-coding RNA, 3932 nt
Organism: Centrocercus urophasianus (Greater sage-grouse)
Lineage: Eukaryota; Metazoa; Chordata; Aves; Galliformes; Phasianidae
Exons: 2
Source: RefSeq, a predicted model, not a curated record